AGCGAACGCUGGCGGCAGGCCUAACACAUGCAAGUCGAGCGAACUCUUCGGAGUUAGUGGCGGACGGGUGAGUAACACGUGGGGACGUGCCUUUUGGUUCGGAAUAACUCAGGGAAACUUGUGCUAAUACCGAAUGUGCCCUUCGGGGGAAAGAUUUAUCGCCAUUAGAGCGGCCCGCGUCUGAUUAGCUAGUUGGUGAGGUAACGGCUCACCAAGGCGACGAUCAGUAGCUGGUCUGAGAGGAUGACCAGCCACACUGGGACUGAGACACGGCCCAGACUCCUACGGGAGGCAGCAGUGGGGAAUCUUGCGCAAUGGGCGAAAGCCUGACGCAGCCAUGCCGCGUGAAUGAUGAAGGUCUUAGGAUUGUAAAAUUCUUUCACCGGUGACGAUAAUGACGGUACCCGAAGAAGAAGCCCCGGCUAACUUCGUG
This 433-nucleotide ribosomal RNA is filed under the name uncultured bacterium. Its description in RNAcentral is "partial 16S ribosomal RNA". It matches the Rfam family "Bacterial small subunit ribosomal RNA", at positions 29 to 507 of the family's 1533-position model. The record is from RNAcentral.